CGAAAAGUUGUCGUCCGGACGAUUCUUCAAACCCAACCUGAACGACGCUAGAUCAACGUCUGGACAAAACGCCCGAUGAAACUGAACGCUUCUGGGUAAAAAGUUGUCGUCCGGACGUUCAUCCUGAACGCACCUCUGAGAGUUUUUCGAACAAACCUCUGGAGCGGCAAUGGGAUCUCCUAUCAUUGCAAACAUCUUUAUGGAACAUUUUGAGAAUGAAGUUUGAAAAGCGCACAUCUGAAACCAUCUACAUGAUUUCGGAAGACCGGACAUGAACUGUCAGCCGCUGAAUGGUUUGCACCAACAUACCCAUUUCUGGAACAGUUAAUGCAGUUUAAUCGCUGGCGACACAUCUUUCAGCGGGAUAGUUUUUGCCUUAACAUUUGGGACACACGGCGCUUCUAGCUCUACCUCUGCACUAAGCGAGGACAUGGCCGAAGCGUUGGUAAUUUGUACACCUACGUACUCUUUGAAUAAAUGGGGAAAAGAAAAUUCUUUUGCCUAGGUAUAAGGCAGAGA
Molecule: long non-coding RNA, 519 nt
Organism: Odontomachus brunneus
Lineage: Eukaryota; Metazoa; Arthropoda; Insecta; Hymenoptera; Formicidae
Exons: 3
Source: RefSeq, a predicted model, not a curated record